GUCACCCUGAUGUAGCAGCUGGGAAAACAGAAGCACAAGGAGACGCAGCAUCCGCCCUGGAAUGGUUGCAAUCUGGGGCAGGAUCUGAACACAGGACUCCUCCUAGCUUCCUUGGGUCUACCUCAGGGCCUGGUUCCUUUCCCUGGGGAGGCAUGAAAGGCUUACAGGCACCAAGAUCCCAAGGGGAGAGUCUGAAGGCUGGAGAGGAUGGCCUCCUCCCUAGGACCCCAUGGCCUUCACCUUCUCCUCAGGUGAGGACAGCCAUGUGGGGAUCCACAUACUACCCACACUGCCCAAACUUGUGCCCCAUUAUCGUUGCAGAGCCCUGCCUGGGCAGGAGCAGAAAGGAGGAGGGUGGUUGCCUCCAUCUGUCUGGGCUGUUGGCACUGUGGGUUUGAAGGUUGGUAGAGUCCAGGGGCCCCCCUGCUCUCAGAAAGCACUGCUGAGGCAGAGUGGGAAAGCGCUGAGGUUGAUGGAGAGCUUGAGGC
Molecule: non-coding RNA, 488 nt
Organism: Struthio camelus australis
Lineage: Eukaryota; Metazoa; Chordata; Aves; Struthioniformes; Struthionidae
Source: RefSeq, a predicted model, not a curated record